RNAcentral lists this ribosomal RNA (453 nucleotides) under uncultured organism. RNAcentral describes it as "partial 16S ribosomal RNA". It matches the Rfam family "Bacterial small subunit ribosomal RNA", at positions 330 to 799 of the family's 1533-position model. The record is from RNAcentral.
CGUACACUCCUGCGGGAGGCAGCAGUGGGGAAUAUUGGACAAUGGGCGCAAGCCUGAUACAGCCAUGCCGCGUGAGUGAUGAAGGCCCUAGGGUUGUAAAGCUCUUUCACCGGUGAAGAUAAUGACGGUAACCGGAGAAGAAGCCCCGGCUAACUUCGUGCCAGCAGCCGCGGUAAUACGAAGGGGGCUAGCGUUGUUCGGAUUUACUGGGCGUAAAGCGCACGUAGGCGGACUAUUAAGUCAGGGGUGAAAUCCCGGGGCUCAACCCCGGAACUGCCUUUGAUACUGGUAGUCUUGAGUUCGAGAGAGGUGAGUGGAAUUCCGAGUGUAGAGGUGAAAUUCGUAGAUAUUCGGAGGAACACCAGUGGCGAAGGCGGCUCACUGGCUCGAUACUGACGCUGAGGUGCGAAAGCGUGGGGAGCAAACAGGAUUAGAUACCCUAGUAGUCCCAUG